RNAcentral lists this ribosomal RNA (442 nucleotides) under uncultured Thermovirga sp. Its description in RNAcentral is "bacterial SSU rRNA". It matches the Rfam family "Bacterial small subunit ribosomal RNA", at positions 954 to 1382 of the family's 1533-position model. Lineage: Bacteria; Thermotogati; Synergistota; Synergistia; Synergistales; Thermovirgaceae. The record is from RNAcentral.
AUGACAAACCGAAGAACCUUACCGUGGGUUUGACAUGUACGUGGUACGGAUCUAGAAAGGUGAAGGACUUACUCUUCGGAGUGAGAGCGUACACAGGUGCUGCAUGGCUGUCGUCAGCUCGUGUCGUGAGAUGUUGGGUUAAGUCCCGCAACGGGCGCAACCCCUGCAUUCAGUUGCCAUCGGUAAGGCCGGGCACUCUGGAUGGACUGCCGGCGACAAGCCGGAGGAAGGCGGGGACGACGUCAAGUCAUCAUGGCCCUUAUGUCCAGGGCGACACACGUGCUACAAUGGCCGGCACAACGGGAAGCGAAGGGGCGACCCUGAGCGGAUCCCACAAAAGCCGGUCUCAGUUCGGAUUGCAGUCUGCAACUCGACUGCAUGAAGUUGGAAUCGCUAGUAAUCGUGGAUCAGCCAAGCCGCGGUGAAUACGUUCCCGGGCCUU